Molecule: small RNA, 421 nt
Filed under: Vibrio cholerae O1 biovar El Tor str. N16961
Lineage: Bacteria; Pseudomonadati; Pseudomonadota; Gammaproteobacteria; Vibrionales; Vibrionaceae
Description: cspA thermoregulator
Rfam family: cspA thermoregulator
Source: Rfam by way of RNAcentral
UUAGGUAAGAGUUGUUAAUGUUAAAUUCAGUGAAAGUUCAAUCUCAGAUCGUUAUCGAUUUCUCGUUAAACCUGCGUCAACUUUGUCUUGAUAUACCAUUCAAUAGCUUUCGUUAUCAGCCAAAUAAACUCAUAGCAAAUAUAUAUCAGAGGUUACUAUGUCUCAGAAAAUGACUGGUUCAGUAAAAUGGUUCAACGAAACUAAAGGUUUUGGUUUCAUCUCUCAAGACAACGGCGGUCAAGACGUGUUCGUACACUUCAAGUCUAUCGUUUCUGAAGGCUUCAAAACUCUGGCUGAAGGCCAGCGUGUAAGCUUCACCGUUGAGCAAGGCAAAAAAGGCCCACAAGCUGCUCAAGUUACUGCGCUGUAAUUAGCUCAGAUUGAUUCUAAAAGGGGCGUGGUGAAAACCACGCCCUUUUUA